GGUUCCGUAGUGUAGCGGUUAUCACGUCGCCCUGUCACGGCGAAGAUCGCGGGUUCGAUUCCCGUCGGGACCG
RNAcentral lists this transfer RNA (73 nucleotides) under Streptococcus suis. RNAcentral's name for it is "tRNA-Asp". It matches the Rfam family "tRNA". Rfam says of the family: Transfer RNA (tRNA) molecules are approximately 80 nucleotides in length. Their secondary structure includes four short double-helical elements and three loops (D, anti-codon, and T loops). Further hydrogen bonds mediate the characteristic L-shaped molecular structure. tRNAs have two regions of fundamental functional importance: the anti-codon, which is responsible for specific mRNA codon recognition, and the 3' end, to which the tRNAs corresponding amino acid is attached (by aminoacyl-tRNA synthetases). tRNAs cope with the degeneracy of the genetic code in two manners: having more than one tRNA (with a specific anti-codon) for a particular amino acid; and 'wobble' base-pairing, i.e. permitting non-standard base-pairing at the 3rd anti-codon position. The record is from RNAcentral. RNAcentral also lists the same sequence under 4 other names. Lineage: Bacteria; Bacillati; Bacillota; Bacilli; Lactobacillales; Streptococcaceae.